RNAcentral lists this ribosomal RNA (2901 nucleotides) under Shigella boydii 5216-82. RNAcentral describes it as "bacterial LSU rRNA". It matches the Rfam family "Bacterial large subunit ribosomal RNA". Lineage: Bacteria; Pseudomonadati; Pseudomonadota; Gammaproteobacteria; Enterobacterales; Enterobacteriaceae. The record is from RNAcentral.
UUAAGCGACUAAGCGUACACGGUGGAUGCCCUGGCAGUCAGAGGCGAUGAAGGACGUGCUAAUCUGCGAUAAGCGUCGGUAAGGUGAUAUGAACCGUUAUAACCGGCGAUUUCCGAAUGGGGAAACCCAGUGUGUUUCGACACACUAUCAUUAACUGAAUCCAUAGGUUAAUGAGGCGAACCGGGGGAACUGAAACAUCUAAGUACCCCGAGGAAAAGAAAUCAACCGAGAUUCCCCCAGUAGCGGCGAGCGAACGGGGAGCAGCCCAGAGCCUGAAUCAGUGUGUGUGUUAGUGGAAGCGUCUGGAAAGGCGCGCGAUACAGGGUGACAGCCCCGUACACAAAAAUGCACAUGCUGUGAGCUCGAUGAGUAGGGCGGGACACGUGGUAUCCUGUCUGAAUAUGGGGGGACCAUCCUCCAAGGCUAAAUACUCCUGACUGACCGAUAGUGAACCAGCACCGUGAGGGAAAGGCGAAAAGAACCCCGGCGAGGGGAGUGAAAAAGAACCUGAAACCGUGUACGUACAAGCAGUGGGAGCCUCUUUAUGGGGUGACUGCGUACCUUUUGUAUAAUGGGUCAGCGACUUAUAUUCUGUAGCAAGGUUAACCGAAUAGGGGAGCCGAAGGGAAACCGAGUCUUAACUGGGCGUUAAGUUGCAGGGUAUAGACCCGAAACCCGGUGAUCUAGCCAUGGGCAGGUUGAAGGUUGGGUAACACUAACUGGAGGACCGAACCGACUAAUGUUGAAAAAUUAGCGGAUGACUUGUGGCUGGGGGUGAAAGGCCAAUCAAACCGGGAGAUAGCUGGUUCUCCCCGAAAGCUAUUUAGGUAGCGCCUCGUGAAUUCAUCUCCGGGGGUAGAGCACUGUUUCGGCAAGGGGGUCAUCCCGACUUACCAACCCGAUGCAAACUGCGAAUACCGGAGAAUGUUAUCACGGGAGACACACGGCGGGUGCUAACGUCCGUCGUGAAGAGGGAAACAACCCAGACCGCCAGCUAAGGUCCCAAAGUCAUGGUUAAGUGGGAAACGAUGUGGGAAGGCCCAGACAGCCAGGAUGUUGGCUUAGAAGCAGCCAUCAUUUAAAGAAAGCGUAAUAGCUCACUGGUCGAGUCGGCCUGCGCGGAAGAUGUAACGGGGCUAAACCAUGCACCGAAGCUGCGGCAGCGACGCUUAUGCGUUGUUGGGUAGGGGAGCGUUCUGUAAGCCUGUGAAGGUGUGCUGUGAGGCAUGCUGGAGGUAUCAGAAGUGCGAAUGCUGACAUAAGUAACGAUAAAGCGGGUGAAAAGCCCGCUCGCCGGAAGACCAAGGGUUCCUGUCCAACGUUAAUCGGGGCAGGGUGAGUCGACCCCUAAGGCGAGGCCGAAAGGCGUAGUCGAUGGGAAACAGGUUAAUAUUCCUGUACUUGGUGUUACUGCGAAGGGGGGACGGAGAAGGCUAUGUUGGCCGGGCGACGGUUGUCCCGGUUUAAGCGUGUAGGCUGAUUUUCCAGGCAAAUCCGGAAAAUCAAGGCUGAGGCGUGAUGACGAGGCACUACGGUGCUGAAGCAACAAAUGCCCUGCUUCCAGGAAAAGCCUCUAAGCAUCAGGUAACAUCAAAUCGUACCCCAAACCGACACAGGUGGUCAGGUAGAGAAUACCAAGGCGCUUGAGAGAACUCGGGUGAAGGAACUAGGCAAAAUGGUGCCGUAACUUCGGGAGAAGGCACGCUGAUAUGUAGGUGAAGUCCCUCGCGGAUGGAGCUGAAAUCAGUCGAAGAUACCAGCUGGCUGCAACUGUUUAUUAAAAACACAGCACUGUGCAAACACGAAAGUGGACGUAUACGGUGUGACGCCUGCCCGGUGCCGGAAGGUUAAUUGAUGGGGUCAGCGCAAGCGAAGCUCUUGAUCGAAGCCCCGGUAAACGGCGGCCGUAACUAUAACGGUCCUAAGGUAGCGAAAUUCCUUGUCGGGUAAGUUCCGACCUGCACGAAUGGCGUAAUGAUGGCCAGGCUGUCUCCACCCGAGACUCAGUGAAAUUGAACUCGCUGUGAAGAUGCAGUGUACCCGCGGCAAGACGGAAAGACCCCGUGAACCUUUACUAUAGCUUGACACUGAACAUUGAGCCUUGAUGUGUAGGAUAGGUGGGAGGCUUUGAAGUGUGGACGCCAGUCUGCAUGGAGCCGGCCUUGAAAUACCACCCUUUAAUGUUUGAUGUUCUAACGUGGACCCGUAAUCCGGGUUGCGGACAGUGUCUGGUGGGUAGUUUGACUGGGGCGGUCUCCUCCUAAAGAGUAACGGAGGAGCACGAAGGUUGGCUAAUCCUGGUCGGACAUCAGGAGGUUAGUGCAAUGGCAUAAGCCAGCUUGACUGCGAGCGUGACGGCGCGAGCAGGUGCGAAAGCAGGUCAUAGUGAUCCGGUGGUUCUGAAUGGAAGGGCCAUCGCUCAACGGAUAAAAGGUACUCCGGGGAUAACAGGCUGAUACCGCCCAAGAGUUCAUAUCGACGGCGGUGUUUGGCACCUCGAUGUCGGCUCAUCACAUCCUGGGGCUGAAGUAGGUCCCAAGGGUAUGGCUGUUCGCCAUUUAAAGUGGUACGCGAGCUGGGUUUAGAACGUCGUGAGACAGUUCGGUCCCUAUCUGCCGUGGGCGCUGGAGAACUGAGGGGGGCUGCUCCUAGUACGAGAGGACCGGAGUGGACGCAUCACUGGUGUUCGGGUUGUCAUGCCAAUGGCACUGCCCGGUAGCUAAAUGCGGAAGAGAUAAGUGCUGAAAGCAUCUAAGCACGAAACUUGCCCCGAGAUGAGUUCUCCCUGACCCUUUAAGGGUCCUGAAGGAACGUUGAAGACGACGACGUUGAUAGGCCGGGUGUGUAAGCGCAGCGAUGCGUUGAGCUAACCGGUACUAAUGAACCGUGAGGCUUAACCUU